AAACCAACCGGGAUUGCCUCAGUAACGGCGAGUGAAGCGGCAAAAGCUCAAAUUUGAAAUCUGGCACUUUCAGUGUCCGAGUUGUAAUUUGUAUAAGUAGUUUUGGGACUGGUCCUUAUCUAUGUUUCUUGGAACAGGACGUCAUAGAGGGUGAGAACCCCGUAUGAUGAGGCCCCCAGUCCUUUGUAAAACGCUUUCGAAGAGUCGAGUUGUUUGGGAAUGCAGCUCUAAGUGGGUGGUAAAUUCCAUCUAAAGCUAAAUAUUGGCGAGAGACCGAUAGCGAACAAGUACAGUGAUGGAAAGAUGAAAAGAACUUUGAAAAGAGAGUGAAAAAGUACGUGAAAUUGUUGAAAGGGAAGGGCAUUUGAUCAGACAUUGGUGUUUUGCGCCCUUUGCUCCUUGUGGGCGGAGGAUACGCAGCUCACUGGGCCAACAUCAGUUUUGGGAGCAGGAUAAAUCUGUAGGAACGUAGCUUUCUUCGGGAAGUGUUAUAGCCUAUGGGAAUACUGCUACCUGGGA
This 519-nucleotide ribosomal RNA is filed under the name uncultured Hanseniaspora. RNAcentral's name for it is "eukaryotic LSU rRNA". It matches the Rfam family "Eukaryotic large subunit ribosomal RNA", at positions 62 to 586 of the family's 3401-position model. The record is from RNAcentral. Lineage: Eukaryota; Fungi; Ascomycota; Saccharomycetes; Saccharomycodales; Saccharomycodaceae.